RNAcentral lists this microRNA precursor (78 nucleotides) under Schistosoma mansoni. RNAcentral describes it as "mir-3492 microRNA precursor family". It matches the Rfam family "mir-3492 microRNA precursor family". The record is from Rfam by way of RNAcentral. Lineage: Eukaryota; Metazoa; Platyhelminthes; Trematoda; Strigeidida; Schistosomatidae.
AGCUUUCUGAAUCCGUGUAGAGAUUUUGUCAGACAUCAGCCCAUUAGGGCUGAUCAAACUUCUAAGAUUAGUGAAGUU